GCAGCGAUGUCCGAGUGGUUAGGGAGUUUGACUUGAAAUCAAAUGGGCUCUGCCCGCGUAGGUUUGAAUCCUGCUUGCUGCG
This is a transfer RNA of Toxocara canis (dog roundworm), 82 nucleotides long. It matches the Rfam family "tRNA". From Rfam's summary of the family: Transfer RNA (tRNA) molecules are approximately 80 nucleotides in length. Their secondary structure includes four short double-helical elements and three loops (D, anti-codon, and T loops). NCBI's taxonomy places the organism in Eukaryota, Metazoa, Nematoda, Chromadorea, Rhabditida, Toxocaridae. The record is from Rfam.